UCCAAGUUUGUAAUUAACUUUUUUUCUCUGGGGCAAACAGAUGAAAAGUACAUCUUAAUAUGAAAAAUUAUCCUCCAUUUAGCAAGAAGACCAUGCCCAGUGCUUUGAAGGAAAAACACUAAUCAUCUAAGAUCCUCUGUUCUAAGAACAACAUUGCCAUUUCAAACAUUUCUCUCAACUCUG
Molecule: long non-coding RNA, 183 nt
Filed under: Monodelphis domestica (gray short-tailed opossum)
Lineage: Eukaryota; Metazoa; Chordata; Mammalia; Didelphimorphia; Didelphidae
Description: lncRNA (ENSMODG00000048238.1)
Source: RNAcentral